ACAAUUCAGAUUAUUAACCUAUUAUAAUAUAAUUUGUCUAUAUUUUGUAUUUAAUAAAUUGACAAUUUGAAUUAAAAUUGUAUACAGUAUACAAAGAUUUCUAUUGCUCUGGGUAAAAGGGGAUCGGUAGUCUUCCCAAUAACUGUCGCCAUCUAUCCGUCGCGCUCAAUAUUAUUAAUUAUGUUGAAUUUUAUUUCCAGACAUAAAAUACAUACAUGUUGCGCAUGCGCCGAUAAUUUAAAUAAACAUAACGGUAAAUAUAAAUAACUUAAAAAUUAAUAAUAUUGCAACAAAAUCCUUAAAUUACAUUUAAUUCUAAUAAUAAUUCAUUCGUUACGAAGAAAUGUCCAUUAACUUACAAGAAAUGAAUGCUUUAUAAGAUGGAAGGUAGGUUCUGUUUAUAUACUAAUUACUAUACUUUGGUGUUCGAUACGAGAGCUAUAUAAGACCGUUGCCUGGCAGCAGUCUUUAGUCGAAGCCGAUCAGUGACAAGUGAAGGAUGUACUCAACUUUCUCUCCCAAAGAUAAUAAAAUUUCGAAGACGGUAGAAAUUAUUCCAGUAUUUACGGUUUUUUAAAUCGUGAUUAUACAAUUUACACAUAAGGUAUAAUUUUGUGCUAUAUAAAUAAGAAGCAUAAAUAAAAUGCGCAAGAUCAUUUCAGUUUUCAAAUUUCGUAGUAAAUAAGUAUUUAAAUACCGGAAAUUGGAAAAUAAAAUUAAAAAAUCUUUAUACGCUGUGUUAAUACGCAUGCUUGUCACGUGUUACAUUCAUCACUCAUACUUCCAACUAGGAAAUAUUUAUUGUUCCCUCUAUAUUAUCGCGUUUUAUAAAUUGAGAUUUUAAUUAAAUUUCGGCAAUAAUACAUAUAACAAAUAUAUAUUAUUAAUAUGUAAAACUGCACAACGGUUAUAAUGAAAUAUACAUACAGCAAAAUUGGAUUUCUUAGAUGUUUACAAACAAAUAGGUCAUUCAAACUUCUUAUUUUCAUUAUAACCAUAGCAAUAUCACGUAGUAUUUAAUUAAACUUUAGUCUAUAAAUCCAUAUGUAUUUCGUUAAUUCAAAAUUCUUUUCUGCAUAACUCUCAGAAAUCAUCGAAAUCGUGAUCAACAUUUUCAACUGCUUUUAAUCUCCAGUGUAAUAUCACGUACUUCUCACUUCACUUAUUUCAAGAGAUUCAGGAAAUUAUGAAAUUUUAUGCUAGAUACGUCACUGAAUCUUAUAAAUAGGUGAACCAUAUCCUCAAUCGGAUUUCGCAUCGUGUGUCAGGGAUCGGCUGCAGCAGCUAGGUACAUACCGCUCAAAGAGUGGCCAGGGCCAGCGCGUAAGAUCGCGCAGACGAUGUGACAACGUUGCACGGUCGAUAUGCUCUUUCAGGCAAAGUGCCAAGAUUGGUAAACGCACGCGGCGGUAUAUAGUCGUGGUUUCAGGUGCCCUUCCCUCCUCUAACGCCCGCGUUUCACCCCCACCGCCAUUCCUGGAACUUACCCGUGGGAUUCUGCGUGAUGGUGGGGGUUAAAUAACAAAGGUGGGGGAAUUGAAGCUGCGCAGAACGUUGCCAGACAUACGUCGCUGUUUGUGCCUCUGCGCAGCCUUACAUACAUAUACUCGACAGCCUCCUAUAUACUACAUAUGUAUUAUACUUAUUAUUUUAAUCAUGAUUUACGGCUGCAACGUUGCCGGUUCUCGCUGCAGGCACGCCCACUCGGUCUCCCUUUUUUCACUUUUCAGUCGUACAUACUAAUACAUAGAUGUAUGCGGGGAAAAGCAACGUCGCUUGAUCGAUACUUAAAGAAACAUAUAAAAACAAAAAGAUGUACAAAGUUGUAUUUAUCAGCAUCGUAUGAGCAUGUUUACGAAUAAAGAUACGUCUUUAUUAAGAUACAAAAUAAAAAAUCGCUAGCUUUCGUGCAUAGAUUGAGCAACUAGAACUAAAAUAAAGAAUAUUUAAAAAAUCGUAACUAUAUACGUUGUAAUUAAAAUGUUUAUAUGUUUGUUACUCUUUUAUUUCGAUUGUGUUUUUCUAUAAAUAAUUAUAUAUAUAACAGGAAUAACAAAGAUGUUAAUCUAUAUGACCGUGCAACGUUGCCAUUACAAAAUGGCCGUCGCGGCCUUGAUUGGCCCGAUUUCUUCUAUGGCAUACGCUGGGCCAGUCGUUUUGGCAACACUGGAAGGUCAUAACAAUCUAUUUAUAGCAGCCCUCUAUUGCUGCUGUUGCUAUGCCAAGUGAAGGCACAGUUCGCGGGGAGGGGAGGCAGUGGAAAUGGAGGGGGAAGAGAUUACUGAAGAACAAUAUGGCGUUGAACAGGAUGUGCCCUGUACCGAUCUACCCAUUCUCUUUGCCAUAACUACAUUGUCCUUUCUUUCUAACGUUCACAAUCUUUCUCUUACAAUUUCCUUCUUCUUCCUAAUAUCAACGUAUAUCAUUCAUUUCGUUCAAUUAUGAAAUCAAAAGAGCAAACAUUACAUAACGCGAUGAAAUAUAGUACAGAGAGACACAAUUAAAUACGAUAGCCUUAAUCGUGAUAAGACGUAUGGGACGAGGUUACCAUCGCUUUAGUGUUCUGUGACGAGAAAAACAAGGAUGAUUCGAAGAGUGGGGAGAACGAAUAUUCGAAUUGCAUAUGGCGGCGUGCACUUGCAGCAGCUGACAAGCAUCGUGGUGUGCGUUUUCAUGGUACACAAGCACGCAUGCGACUUGCACGAAGUCGCGCCGCUUCGGGAAUGCUCGGCAAACUUCGUGAAACUGCCUCUUUGUUACAUCAUUCUUUAGCUCUUAUGUAGUACAUAGAGGCGGAUACAUUAUAUACUGCGUCUGCACAUAUUUCCCUCCCAGCUCUCGCUCUCGUAUGUACAGUGUAUAUAGCUGCCUUUGCAUAUAUGUGCCGGCGAAGCAAACGGGCGGACGGUCGGAGGAGUGAGAUCAGCUCCAUGUUACACGAGGCGCACAAAUGUAAAUCAACUAGAACGGACACUAGAGUAUGUAAUAUGUAUAUGCGUUUUAUCAUCUAUAAUUUUACCAAUUAUAAUAAAGAAAAUUCUUAAUAAUCUUAUUCCAUAUUAAACUAUUACAACUUCACUAGAUCUAAAUAAAUCGUAACUUUAAAUAAAUUAUUAUUUGUUUUCACUGUAAUAUACAAUAGUGCUUUCUGCAUUUUAAAAUUUUUGAUUAUUCCAUUACUCAGAAAAUAUAUAUAUAUAAAACUUUUCGCAUACAUAUUAAACUUUUAUUAAAAAAAUAUAUUUUGCCAAAGUACUCAAAAUUACGGAAUAAAGAUGAACCAAAAUUACUUUGAAAGAACAAAAUCCAGGGGCCUCUUGCAUAAUAUAAUAUAACGUAAUAUAUAGUAAUAUAAUAGUAAUAUUACUAAUAUAGUAAUAUAAAGUAAUAGUAAGUAAUAUAAACGUCUCCUUUACGAUUUCACAAUUUCUUAUCAAAUAGGAUAAUCAUAUAACGCGAUUUUUUCUUAAUUUAAUUGUGAAAUUUGUUACUAUUAUGCAAGGACAUUUAUUAAUAUUGAUAAUUUGUAAAAUUUCACUAAUGACAGUAGUUCAAUUGCAAAAGUGUAAAUGGAAGUUUAUAUGUAUCAUUUUCAAAAACUAAUGAAAAAGCAUUAUUGAAAAAAUGUUUUUAGUGAUAGAUAGAUCUAUCUUGCAACUAAUAACUGACAUCAAUAAUGUUUAUUUUUCAUCACGCUUUGUGGCGCCAAAAAACUUUUGGAAUACUUCACAUAUAAAAAGGACAUAAUCUAUAAUAAUCUCAAAGACAAUUCCCCAUCUUUUUAUUUCAGUUAUUUCUUUACUUAAUAAUAACGGAAUUACACAUCGAUACUGCUAGUAAUAUAUAUUAUGUCAUAUUCAUAUGUAAUAUUAUGGUACGGUAAACCUAACCAUAAAUCAUUAAAAAGAUUAUAGUUACUUAUAGGAAAAUAGUUGUAAAACAGGAAGCACAAAUUCUUAUGAGCGUUUUCAAUAAUGAAUGACUAUACUUACUUUAUCAUUGUACUGAUAGAAAACAGGCUAUAUAUUAUUUUUAUAUAAUAAAAUAACUAUGCACAUAAUGUA
Long non-coding RNA from Bombus huntii, 4064 nucleotides. RefSeq lists it as uncharacterized. The transcript is spliced from 2 exons. Lineage: Eukaryota; Metazoa; Arthropoda; Insecta; Hymenoptera; Apidae. The record is from RefSeq and is a predicted model, not a curated record.